CCUACGGGAGGCAGCAGUGAGGAAUAUUGGUCAAUGGACGAGAGUCUGAACCAGCCAAGUAGCGUGAAGGAUGACUGCCCUAUGGGUUGUAAACUUCUUUUAUAUGGGAAUAAAACGUUCCACGUGUGGGAUUUUGUAUGUACCAUAUGAAUAAGGAUCGGCUAACUCCGUGCCAGCAGCCGCGGUAAUACGGAGGAUCCGAGCGUUAUCCGGAUUUAUUGGGUUUAAAGGGAGCGUAGGUGGAUUGUUAAGUCAGUUGUGAAAGUUUGCGGCUCAGCCGUAAAAUUGCAGUUGAAACUGGCAGUCUUGAGUACAGUAGAGGUAGGCGGAAUUCGUGGUGUAGCGGUGAAAUGCUUAGAUAUCACGAAGAACUCCGAUUGCGAAGGCAGUUCACUGGACUGCAACUGACACUGAGGCUCGAAAGUGUGGGUAUCAAACAGGAUUAGAUACCCGAGUAGUC
Molecule: ribosomal RNA, 460 nt
Filed under: uncultured bacterium
Lineage: Bacteria
Description: partial 16S ribosomal RNA
Rfam family: Bacterial small subunit ribosomal RNA
Source: RNAcentral